ACAAUUCUCUCUCCCACAAUUCAUUAAAAUGAGAAAUUUCAAUAUUUGAAACUCUCUUCGUCAACCCUCCGCCUUUAUUUUGUUUCUCCCUCAAUUCCCUCUCCCACAAUUCAUUAAAAUUGAAAAAUCACUUGAAACUCUUUUUCAUCAGCCUCUUGAAGUCCGUUGGCAAUUGUUCGAGUUUCUGGAUUUUUGCAAUUCUCAUGAAAUUUUUCUCUCUUUCUUCCACAACCCAGUGCAACGAUGAUCAUCAAAAAAGAACCGAAGACAGAUCCCCAAAUACCUAUUCCCAGGUUUUGGACAAUCGAGAUCAUCUCCUUGCCGCACUAGGUUACUGUCUUUGGCCAUCAAUCGCACGAAGGUACCACCACCGUCAAAACUGUGGGCCUAGGGCUUUUGAUUUCAAGCCAGGAGAUGACCAGAUAUAUCAAUUGUAUUUGCUAAAUAAGUCUCUGCUUGCAUAUGGCACUUAUUUAUCUCGCUUUCUCAGAGUAAUGUGUUUUGGAGACUCGUCCGCAGUGUCCUCAAAACUCCUACCAAGUAACAAGCAAAUUGUCAGCAGCCAAAGCCAAUUUUAUUGGAUACUGGCAAAAUGAAACAACCUUAUGACUGUGAUUUUCUUGCAAGGGCUUGUGCAGGAAGGUUAUAAGGUUUAAAAAUUCUGAAAGAAUGAGGCUCUUAUGAGAUGCUUUAUCUUUCUUAUGCUUAAUUUGUAUUAUGAGUUAUGUGGUCGAACAGGAUUUGCUGAGACUAUAUAUUUUUGAAUUCACAGAAGUUUCAAAGGCAGAAGGAUGGGACAAAGUACUAAUUUGGUGAUUGGAUGAUUCGACCAAUGAGUGGCUUGCUCUAGAUCAUAAGGGAACAGAUAUUCACCUUCUGAGUUCGACGAUGGGGGCUACGAUUAGAGCUGGUUAUCCCAGGGGUAGGGGGACGAGAAGACGAUUAUUAAUAGCCCAAAGUUCUUAAAUUAUAUGACAGCUAUUAAUAUCGAUAUAUUUUUUUUUUUUGAGAGAGAGAAUUAAUAUUGAUAUUGUUUUUUUUAGAGAAUCAAUAUCGAUAUUGUUAUUGAUGUUUUAGUGUUAUUUGUUCAACAUGAGAGAGACUUAAAUUAUUUAUUUUACAAUCUGUAAAUUUAAUUAUUAUUAUACAAUAUUCAUUAAAUUUAAUAUUAUACUCCUACUUAUUAAGUUGAUAAAA
Salvia miltiorrhiza (redroot sage) is the source of this 1197-nucleotide long non-coding RNA. RefSeq lists it as uncharacterized. The record is from RefSeq and is a predicted model, not a curated record. NCBI's taxonomy places the organism in Eukaryota, Viridiplantae, Streptophyta, Magnoliopsida, Lamiales, Lamiaceae. The transcript has 5 exons.